Molecule: ribosomal RNA, 404 nt
Filed under: Actinomycetes bacterium
Lineage: Bacteria; Bacillati; Actinomycetota; Actinomycetes
Description: Actinobacteria bacterium partial 16S ribosomal RNA
Rfam family: Bacterial small subunit ribosomal RNA
Source: RNAcentral
UGGGGAAUAUUGGACAAUGGGCGCAAGCCUGAUCCAGCCAUGCCGCGUGAGUGAUGAAGGCCUUAGGGUUGUAAAGCCCUUCCACCGGUGAACAUAAUGACGGUAACCGGUGAAGAAGCCCCGGCUAACUUCGCGCCAGCAGCCGCGGUAAUACGAAGGGGGCUAGCGUUGUUCGGAGUUACUGGGCGUAAAGCGCACGUAGGCGGACCUUUAAGUCAGGGGUGAAAUCCCGGGGGUCAACCCCGGAACUGCCUUUGAUACUGGAAGUCUUGGGUAUGGUAGAAGUGGGUGGAAUUCCGAGUGUAGGGGUGAAAUUCCUAGAUAUUCGGAGGAAACCCCGUGGCGAAGGCGGCUCCCUGGACCAUUACUGACGCUGAGGUGCGAAAGCGUGGGGAGCAAACAGG